AAAUAAGACCUAAAUCCAUAUAAUAGUAAAAGAUGUCCUAGACUUCUUUGAGAACCCUCCAAGAGCACAAAACUGAUUAGCAUGUGAAAAUAUAUUGCCAUGAAACACCGUAACAAUACCAAACCAAUUCGAUAUCAAGAGCCAUAAUCGACCAUAAUGAUCACAUUGAAAAAACAAAUGGUCCCUUUCCUCCUCCUUACCACACAAGGCCGCGCAAGACACAUUGGAAACCUGAAGGACGUUCCUCUUGCGCAGGUUGUCCUUUGUUGCAAGUCUA
This 277-nucleotide long non-coding RNA is filed under the name Medicago truncatula (barrel medic). RNAcentral describes it as "long non-coding RNA (MTRU_LNC003395)". Lineage: Eukaryota; Viridiplantae; Streptophyta; Magnoliopsida; Fabales; Fabaceae. The record is from RNAcentral.